AUUGCUUGGCUUGACUUAGUGA
This 22-nucleotide non-coding RNA is filed under the name Arabidopsis thaliana (thale cress). Lineage: Eukaryota; Viridiplantae; Streptophyta; Magnoliopsida; Brassicales; Brassicaceae. The record is from RNAcentral.